AAUGGAAUUGCUAGGUUGAAUGGGAAAGUGUAAUUUUAAAACAUCUGCCAAACUCUUUUCCAAAGUACCUAUAUCAUUUUGCAUUCCUACCAUAAAU
This 97-nucleotide microRNA precursor is filed under the name Marmota monax (woodchuck). The record is from RNAcentral. Lineage: Eukaryota; Metazoa; Chordata; Mammalia; Rodentia; Sciuridae.